GAUGAACGCUGGCGGCGUGCCUAAUACAUGCAAGUCGAGCGAACAGACGAGGAGCUUGCUCCUCUGACGUUAGCGGCGGACGGGUGAGUAACACGUGGAUAACCUACCUAUAAGACUGGGAUAACUUCGGGAAACCGGAGCUACUACCGGAUAAUAUAUUGAACCGCAUGGUUCAAUAGUGAAAGACGGUUUUGCUGUCACUUAUAGAUGGAUCCGCGCCGCAUUAGCUAGUUGGUAAGGUAACGGCUUACCAAGGCAACGAUGCGUAGCCGACCUGAGAGGGUGAUCGGCCACACUGGAACUGAGACACGGUCCAGACUCCUACGGGAGGCAGCAGUAGGGAAUCUUCCGCAAUGGGCGAAAGCCUGACGGAGCAACGCCGCGUGAGUGAUGAAGGUCUUCGGAUCGUAAAACUCUGUUAUUAGGGAAGAACAAAUGUGUAAGUAACUAUGCACGUCUUGACGGUACCUAAUCAGAAAGCCGCGGCUAACUACGUG
RNAcentral lists this ribosomal RNA (497 nucleotides) under uncultured bacterium. RNAcentral's name for it is "partial 16S ribosomal RNA". It matches the Rfam family "Bacterial small subunit ribosomal RNA", at positions 28 to 507 of the family's 1533-position model. The record is from RNAcentral.